CUUACAUAUGAGAAAGGAUCCUUCAUGCGCAUUGCAAUGUGUUCUGCUGACCAUUAUCAGCUAAGGCCCAAAGAGUCCAAGUUGUCCUCAGCAACUACUUUCACAAGCUGAGGAUUUGGAGAUUUGAGGGGCUGCAUGCUGCCAGCAUCACUCCAGGAAGAAAAGCCUGGUACUGGACCCUCCACAGAAUGUGGCAGCAGAGUAAAUAGUUGGGAGGCACCUGCUCACUCCUUUUGCAUCCCGGCUCCACUGAGGAUGGAUAUGUUUUUCUGUGGCUUUUCAAAUACCUGGGAAGUAGGAACGAAGAAGGAACUAGUCUGAUAAGUCAAUACUUUCUUUUUCUGCUGAUUUUCCAGGCAGUUUCUGGUAGUAUGUAAGAAUAUGCCCCUUUGCUGCUCAUCAGAGCAGCAUUGAUCAAUUCCUACUGCAUAUAUGCUGCAUAUGCUACUUUAAUACUCUAUUGCUGGAAACUAUUGGAAAUCUUAUUCAAAAGAAUUAUCUUUCAAAGAAGCAACAUAUAGCACCAACUUGUGUUCUUGUUGCCCUCAGUUAAUAAGAACGUACAAAAUCUGAAUUUUGCUCUUGGGCUGUGGUUCUUCUUACCCAAACCCCCGGCAUGAUAAAGAUGGUGUUUCAAGGCUAAUAGUUAAGAAACCAAAGUAGUUUCUCCAUCUGUCUUUGAAGCAGAAGCAAGCUUUGGUUUUCGCAGUUCUAUAUCACAAUGAACAAUAUGCCCAAGUAUGUACAAGCCAAAGAGACGACAGUUUCACAGAACAACCAAAUUUGAGACUGAGAUGCUCUCAGAGAUUUUUAAUCAUUAGCCUCUCAGAGGUACUCUUUGAUGGAUGUGAAGGAAUAUUUAUGUUUCUUUGUCCCUCUACAUUCCCUUUACCACACGCAUGUAAAGCAUAUUAAAAAGUUACCUCCAUGUUCUCAUUUAGAUUUGAAUGUCAUAUGUUUGCACUGCUAAUUCCUUCUUAAAACUGCUUGAUCUGCUCAUGAUGAUUUAUAUAUAUGUUUAAUAAAUAGUUUCUUUACAUGUUCUCCA
This 1048-nucleotide long non-coding RNA is filed under the name Parus major (Great Tit). Its description in RNAcentral is "lncRNA (ENSPMJG00000018166.1)". Lineage: Eukaryota; Metazoa; Chordata; Aves; Passeriformes; Paridae. The record is from RNAcentral.